RNAcentral lists this ribosomal RNA (430 nucleotides) under Natrinema gari JCM 14663. RNAcentral's name for it is "bacterial LSU rRNA". It matches the Rfam family "Archaeal large subunit ribosomal RNA", at positions 1054 to 1485 of the family's 2987-position model. Lineage: Archaea; Methanobacteriati; Methanobacteriota; Halobacteria; Halobacteriales; Natrialbaceae. The record is from RNAcentral.
UUGACGCAGGGAGUCCGGUGCACGGGGUAAGCCUGUGUACCGUGAGGGAGACAACCCAGAGCUGGGUUAAGGUCCCCAAGUGUAGACUAAGUGCGAUCGAAGGUAGUCUCAAGCCCUAGACAGCCGGGAGGUGAGCUUAGAAGCAGCUACCCUCUAAGAAAAGCGUAACAGCUUACCGGCCGAGGUUUGAGGCGCCCAAAAUGAUCGGGGCUCAAGUCUACCACCGAGACCUAGCAGCACCCUUGAUCGGGUGAUCUCGUAGGUUGGCGUUCUGUUCGGGUGGAAGCACGGCUGAGAAGUCGUGUGGACCGUUCAGUAACGAAAAUCCUGGUCAUAGUAGCAGCGUUAGUCGGGUUAGAACCCCGACGGCCGAACGAGUAAGGGUUCCUCAGCAAUGCUGAUCAGCUGAGGGUUAGCCGGUCCUAAGUCA